Molecule: ribosomal RNA, 290 nt
Filed under: uncultured bacterium
Lineage: Bacteria
Description: partial 16S ribosomal RNA
Rfam family: Bacterial small subunit ribosomal RNA (bases 52-290)
Source: RNAcentral
UACCGUAGAGUAGCGACGACGGUCGUACCGGAACUUAAGGGUUAGGGUACGGUAAAGGGUACGCAGGCGGAUAGGUAAAGUCAAGCGUGAAAGGUGUCGGCUUAACCGACAGACGUGCGUUUGAAACUGGAUUAUCUUGAGUGUAACAGAGGAGAGUGGAAGUUCCUAGUGUAGUGGUGAAAUACGUAGAUAUUAGGAAGAACACCAGUGGCGAAGGCGACUCUCUGGGUUAACACUGACGCUGAGGUACGAAAGCUGGGGGAGCAAACGGGAUUAGAUACCCGCGUAGU